AGCCGUCAAAGAAAAUUCACUCUCAAAACUGUUUUGGGGAUUUCUUCUGUUCGUAGUCAACUGGGUGGAUCACGUAGAGGUCGGAGUCUCGAUAGAUUGCGGCUUAGUUCGACUGUAGAUCAGACUACACGUUGUUGAGAAGUUGCUGUCUACUCAGAACAGCAUUAGGUAAUUUCGUAACCCUUUUCACCCCGAUUCGUUCCUCACACAUGGAUUCGUGGUUAGGGUUGCCAAUUAUUAAAUUUUUCCGCUGCGCUGUAGGGGUGCCAGGGAUCCAACACCAACUCCCUUGAAUCUCGUAACAAUCCACUCAUUCACCCAUUACGCCAAAAUUUUCCUACCUCCAUCUACCCAAUCAUUGUAAUUCCCUCCAUACUCUGCAUAUUAAAAACAUGAAAUUCAUACAUAACAUUCCAAAUACUAACAUAUUAAGGAGUGUGCCACAUUUUAACACGUCAAUACACCAACACAAUGUACAUUUAGAGAGCAUUCAAGAAAACAUGCAUUUAUGUCCACAAUCUUAUGCAUGCAUAGUUUGCUCAAUCAUCGAAAUCAUUUAUAACCAUAAAUUUCAUAUUAACUCAAAACAAACACUCAAUCAAAACAUUUUAGUAGCAUAGCAACAAACAAUACCUAAGGAAAAGUACAAAAACUUACCUUCCUUCCUUUGUCCUCUCAAGCUUAGCUUCUCCAAAUGCAAUAGCCUUCUUUGUCUAACCAGCUAAGCAUGUGGUAGCUGUCGUUAUGACCACCGAAUUCAAUCCACUAUUCACUAAUAUUAACUGGUAAUAUAAAGUAGGUAGGGAAUCG
This 810-nucleotide long non-coding RNA is filed under the name Gossypium raimondii (Peruvian cotton). RNAcentral describes it as "long non-coding RNA (GRAI_LNC006420)". Lineage: Eukaryota; Viridiplantae; Streptophyta; Magnoliopsida; Malvales; Malvaceae. The record is from RNAcentral.